UACGGAGGGUGCUAGCGUUGUUCGGAAUUACUGGGCGUAAAGGGCGCGUAGGCGGCCGCGUGCGUCGGAUGUGAAAGCCCGGGGCUCAACCCCGGAACGGCAUCCGAUACGGGGCGGCUCGAGGCCGAGAGAGGUGAGUGGAAUACCCAGUGUAGAGGUGAAAUUCGUAGAUAUUGGGUGGAACACCGGUGGCGAAAGCGGCUCGCUGGAUCGGUUCUGACGCUGAGGCGCGAAAGCGUGGGGAGCAAACAGG
RNAcentral lists this ribosomal RNA (253 nucleotides) under uncultured bacterium. RNAcentral's name for it is "partial 16S ribosomal RNA". It matches the Rfam family "Bacterial small subunit ribosomal RNA", at positions 524 to 776 of the family's 1533-position model. The record is from RNAcentral.